UACGAAGGGGGCUAGCGUUGUUCGGAAUUGCUGGGCGUAAAGCGCGCGCAGGCGGUUUUUCAAGUCAGUGGUGAAAGCCCGGAGCUCAACUCCGGAACUGCCAUUGAAACUGUAAAACUUGAGGACGAGAGAGGUGAGUGGAAUUCCCAGUGUAGAGGUGAAAUUCGUAGAUAUUGGGAAGAACACCGGUGGCGAAGGCGGCUCACUGGCUCGUAUCUGACGCUCAGGCGCGACAGCGUGGGGAUCAAACAGG
Molecule: ribosomal RNA, 253 nt
Filed under: uncultured bacterium
Lineage: Bacteria
Description: partial 16S ribosomal RNA
Rfam family: Bacterial small subunit ribosomal RNA
Source: RNAcentral